RNAcentral lists this ribosomal RNA (507 nucleotides) under uncultured bacterium. RNAcentral's name for it is "partial 16S ribosomal RNA". It matches the Rfam family "Bacterial small subunit ribosomal RNA", at positions 35 to 539 of the family's 1533-position model. The record is from RNAcentral.
ACGAACGCUGGCGGCGUGCUUAACACAUGCAAGUCGAACGGAAAGGCCCUGCUUUUGUGGGGUGCUCGAGUGGCGAACGGGUGAGUAACACGUGAGUAACCUGCCCUUGACUUUGGGAUAACUUCAGGAAACUGGGGCUAAUACCGGAUAGGAGCUCCUGCUGCAUGGUGGGGGUUGGAAAGUUUCGGCGGUUGGGGAUGGACUCGCGGCUUAUCAGCUUGUUGGUGGGGUAGUGGCUUACCAAGGCUUUGACGGGUAGCCGGCCUGAGAGGGUGACCGGGUAGGGUAGGGCGUGUAUACCGACCAGACUGCUGCGGGUGGCGGGAGGGGGGAUGAUGGAACAGGGGGGCGAAGGCGGAGGCAGCACCGCGGGGUGGGGGAGUCCGGCCUUGGGGUUGCAAACCGCGUCCGUCUGGGAGGAAGCGGGGGGGAGGGUAAGGGGAAAAGGCCCACGGGAUAACGACGUGACGGCAGGGGCGGUAUUACGCGGAGAGCCCACGCCUGAUC